Molecule: RNA transcript, 2781 nt
Organism: Carlito syrichta (Philippine tarsier)
Lineage: Eukaryota; Metazoa; Chordata; Mammalia; Primates; Tarsiidae
Gene name: E3 ubiquitin-protein ligase ZNF598 pseudogene
Exons: 2
Source: RefSeq, a predicted model, not a curated record
AUGGUUGCAAAGGAGCUCCUGAAUCACAACAAUGCACCAACACAGACAGCAUUGUCUGUGAGGGAGUUUUUAGCCAGAUGGCGUGCGACCCUGGAGGAGGCAGCGGCGCCCGAGCAGGGUGGAGGGAGCUGCGUGCUAUGCUGCGGAGAUCUGGAGGCCAUGGCGGUGGGUCGCUGCGACCACCCGGUGUGCUACCGCUGCUCCACCAAGAUGCGGGUGAUGUACGAGCAGCGCUACUGCGCCGUGUGUCGCGAGGAGCUGCACCAGGUUGUCUUCGGGAAGAACCUCCCUGCCUUCGCCGCCAUCCCCAUCCACCAGCUGCACCACGACAUAAAAUAUGACAUCUACUUUAUGGAUGGCAAAGUCUACGCACUGUACACGCAGCUGCUGCAGCAUGAUUGCCCGCGGUGUCCCGAGCUGUCCUUCUGCGACUUCGGGGAUCUGGAGCAGCACAUGCGGAAGCAGCACGAGCUCUUCUGCUGCCGGAUGUGCCUCGAGCACCUCCAAGUCUUCACGUACGAGCGCAAGUGGUACUCGCGCAAGGAACUGUUUCGGCACCGCCUGCACGGGGACCCCGGCGACACGUCACACCGCGGACACCCACUCUGUAAGUUCUGUGAUGAGCGCUACCUGGACUCCGAGGAGCUGCUCAAGCACCUGCGCCGCGACCACUACUACUGCCACCUCUGCAACUCAGAUGGGGCCCAGGACUACUUUAGUGACUAUGCGUACUUGCGUGAACACUUCCGGGAGAAGCACUUCCUGUGCGAGGAGGGCAACUGCAUCAUGGAGCAGUUCAGCUUUGUCUUCCGCACGGUAAUCGACCUCCAGGUCCACAGGCUGGCAUAUCACAGCCGGAGCCGUGCCGAGGUCCGCCAGAACCGCCAGGUUGACCUGCAGUUCCACUUGGCGCCACGACAUUACUCGCGCCGGUACUACAGGGUCUUCGGUGGUGACGACCAUGAGGAAGUGGACAGGCCCAGCCGCCAGGGCCGAGGGGGCCGAACCGGUGCACGUGGAACCCAGCAAAGCCGUCGAGGAAGCUGGCGGUACAAAAGGGAAGAAGAGGACCGAGAGGUGGCAGCUGCCAUCCGGGCCUCCCUGGCUACACAGCAGCAGGAGGAGACUCCCAAGAGCGAGGAACGAGAGGAAGGUAGCAGGCCCAAGAAAGAAGAGGCAGUGGCACAGGGGCCUGAGGAGCCCUGUGACCCCCAGCACCCAACCCAGUCUCCAGAGGAAGGCUCAGGCCCCAAGGAAACCUCGACAAAUUGUCCUAUGAGCCAGGAGACCUUUCCAGCAACGGACUCGGCCUCAGGGCCUGCCCUUCCCAGCACCCUCCCACCACCCACCCCAGAGCUCAAGGACGAAGAAUUCCACGGCCUCUGUGCCCCCAUUUACUCCUCCUACUCCACUGUGGUGGCCCUGGGCCCUGUGGGAGUUCCUGGCAGGAGUAGGAACACCUUCCUAGAGGAGGACUUCCCCGCCCUGGUGUCCUCGACGUCCAAGCCCAGCACUGUCCCCACCAACCUCAUCUCUGCCUGGAACAGCAGCUGCAGUAAGAAGGUAGCACAACCUACCCCUGUGGCCCAGGCUUCCGGUGGGGGUGGCCAGCCUACCAGGAAGUCCUGGAAGGGGAACCGAGGUGGCAAGAAGGGUGGGCCGCCCCCCGUAGAGGAGGAGAAGGGCAGCCUGACUGUGCAGGAGCUGCAGAGCACAUGCACUACAGCCUCUGUCUCCUCCCUGCUGGGGCCAGCCUCCACCCAGACCUCCAAGGUCGGCAAGAAGGUGGGCUCUGAGGACCCCAGCACUGCGUUAUCCCAGCCACCACCCCCUAGCUGUCCCCCACAACCCCAUGGCAUUGAACAGGCCCCUGAGGCUCCUGCCAGCAAAGCCGAAGGGCCAGGCGCUGUCAUCAUCAGUGGAUACACAGAGGGGGCAGCCCCCACUCGGAGUGCCCCCAAGGAACCCCCCGGGCUCCCAAGGCCCCUGGGGUCUCUCUCCUGCCCCAUACCCCAGGAAGAUUUCCCAGCGUUGUGUGGCCCCUGCCCACCCAGGAUGCCCCCUCCCCCAGGGUUCAACACUGGGAUGCUCCUGAAGGGCACACCGCCCCCACCCCCGCCAGGUCUGGUGCCCUCUGUCAGCAAGCCACCCCCUGGCUUCUCUGGCCUCCUGCCCAGCCCCCACCCAGCCUGCGGCCCCAACCCUACCACCACCACGAAAGCACCCAAGCUGCCGGCCAUGCCACGGACCUACCUGGUCCCUGAGAACUUCCGGGAGCGGAACCUGCAGCUCAUCCAGUCCAUCAAGGACUGUCUGCAGAGCGACGAGGCCCGCUUCAGCAAGUUCAAGAGCCACUCGGGGGAGUUCAGGCAGGGCAUGAUCUCUGCAGCCCAGUAUUACAAGGGUUGCCAAGAUCUGCUUGGGGAGAAUUUCCAGAAGAUCUUUAAUGAGCUGCUGGUGCUGCUGCCUGACACAGCCAAACAGCAGGAGCUGCUGUCUGCACACAUGGACUUCCGCAGCCGCGAGAAGCCUCCCAGCACCAAGUCCAAGAAUAAUAAGAGCGCAUGGCACACUAACACGCAGCUGGCAGGCCUGGACUGCUGCGUGUGUCCCACCUGCCAGCAAGUGCUUGCACACGGAGAUGUCAGCAGCCACCAGGCACUGCACGCUGCCCAGGAGGAUGAAUUCCCCUCCCUGCAAGCCAUUGCCAGGAUCAUCACGCUUCGGCCAGCACAGGCGUCCUUUCCCCACUCUUCCUCCUCCGGGCUGCCAGGCAACUAG